GGAGAGGUGUCCGAGCGGUUUAAGGAGCCGGUCUUGAAAACCGGUGACUCUUCAAGAGCCAUGGGUUCGAAUCCCAUCCUCUCCGCCA
RNAcentral lists this transfer RNA (88 nucleotides) under Angelakisella sp. RNAcentral's name for it is "tRNA-Ser". It matches the Rfam family "tRNA". From Rfam's summary of the family: Transfer RNA (tRNA) molecules are approximately 80 nucleotides in length. Their secondary structure includes four short double-helical elements and three loops (D, anti-codon, and T loops). Further hydrogen bonds mediate the characteristic L-shaped molecular structure. tRNAs have two regions of fundamental functional importance: the anti-codon, which is responsible for specific mRNA codon recognition, and the 3' end, to which the tRNAs corresponding amino acid is attached (by aminoacyl-tRNA synthetases). tRNAs cope with the degeneracy of the genetic code in two manners: having more than one tRNA (with a specific anti-codon) for a particular amino acid; and 'wobble' base-pairing, i.e. permitting non-standard base-pairing at the 3rd anti-codon position. Lineage: Bacteria; Bacillati; Bacillota; Clostridia; Eubacteriales; Oscillospiraceae. The record is from RNAcentral.